UACGUAGGGGGCGAGCGUUGUCCGGAUUUAUUGGGCGUAAAGAGCGUGUAGGCGGCCACGCAGGUCCGUUGUGAAAACUGGAGGCUCAACCUUCAGACGUCGACGGAAACCGUGUGGCUAGAGUCCGGAAGAGGAGAGUGGAAUUCCUGGUGUAGCGGUGAAAUGCGCAGAUAUCAGGAAGAACACCAAUGGAGAAGGCAGCUCUCUGGGACGGUACUGACGCUGAGACGCGAAAGCGUGGGGAGCGAACAGG
RNAcentral lists this ribosomal RNA (253 nucleotides) under uncultured bacterium. RNAcentral's name for it is "partial 16S ribosomal RNA". It matches the Rfam family "Bacterial small subunit ribosomal RNA", at positions 524 to 776 of the family's 1533-position model. The record is from RNAcentral.